GACGAACGCUGGCGGCGUGCUUAACACAUGCAAGUCGAACGGAAAGGCCCUUCGGGGUGCUCGAGUGGCGAACGGGUGAGUAACACGUGGGUGAUCUGCCCUGCACUUUGGGAUAAGCCUGGGAAACUGGGUCUAAUACCGGAUAUACCUUGCCUGCUGCAUGGUGGGUGGGGGAAAGCUUUUGCGGUGUGGGAUGAGCCUGCGGCCUAUCAGCUUGUUGGUGGGGUGAUGGCCUACCAAGGCUUCGACGGGUAGCCGGCCUGAGAGGGUGUCCGGCCACACUGGGACUGAGAUACGGCCCAGACUCCUACGGGAGGCAGCAGUGGGGAAUAUUGCACAAUGGGCGCAAGCCUGAUGCAGCGACGCCGCGUGGGGGAUGACGGCCUUCGGGUUGUAAACCUCUUUCAGUACCGACGAAGCGUAAGUGACGGUAGGUACAGAAGAAGCACCGGCCAACUACGUGCCAGCAGC
RNAcentral lists this ribosomal RNA (471 nucleotides) under uncultured bacterium. RNAcentral's name for it is "bacterial SSU rRNA". It matches the Rfam family "Bacterial small subunit ribosomal RNA", at positions 28 to 515 of the family's 1533-position model. The record is from RNAcentral.